This is a long non-coding RNA of Sinocyclocheilus rhinocerous, 392 nucleotides long. RefSeq lists it as uncharacterized. The record is from RefSeq and is a predicted model, not a curated record. NCBI's taxonomy places the organism in Eukaryota, Metazoa, Chordata, Actinopteri, Cypriniformes, Cyprinidae. The transcript is spliced from 3 exons.
GUAAACACCUGAGCUCUCCUUCCCUUCUCUCCUGUUCUCUCCUGCUUUCUUUCCUCUUUACUCUUCACAUGCGUAGGGACCUGUAAGAACCAUCAAUCAAUUCUAUGUGAAUGAAAUACAUAAUCUUGUCGAAGAAGACGAAUCAUCCUUAUGAAUUUGAUUGUAAUCAACCCCUCCUUCGUUCUUCCUAACCUCCCUACAUUUGGAAACGCAAUCCAAAUUUUAGCAUCUCAUCCAACGCUGAGAUCAAUUUAAUAGAGAUAAGUGUUGAACAACUGUCGCCUUCGCAGCCUCCCUGGUGAGCGGCCCAACUGUAAGGUGUACGGUGUCAAUCCUGUCAGACUAAGAAAAGAGAUAUCAACAUUAUUAUUGUAUUUUUUUGUCUAAAACAG